RNAcentral lists this ribosomal RNA (253 nucleotides) under uncultured bacterium. RNAcentral describes it as "partial 16S ribosomal RNA". It matches the Rfam family "Bacterial small subunit ribosomal RNA", at positions 524 to 776 of the family's 1533-position model. The record is from RNAcentral.
UACGUAGGUGGCAAGCGUUGUUCGGAUUCACUGGGCGUAAAGGGUGCGUAGGUGGUUGGGUAAGUCUGAUGUGAAAUCUCCGGGCUCAACCCGGAAAUGGCAUUGGAUACUAUUCGGCUAGAGGUUUGGAGGGGGGACUGGAAUUCUCGGUGUAGCAGUGAAAUGCGUAGAUAUCGAGAGGAACACCAGUGGCGAAGGCGAGUCCCUGGACAACACCUGACACUGAGGCACGAAAGCUAGGGGAGCAAACAGG